RNAcentral lists this non-coding RNA (48 nucleotides) under Schistosoma haematobium. Lineage: Eukaryota; Metazoa; Platyhelminthes; Trematoda; Strigeidida; Schistosomatidae. The record is from RNAcentral.
AUCCAGCUGACGAGUCCUAAAUAGGACGAACUGUCGCACGUUUUGGAU